UCCGCCUGGGGAGUACGNCCGCAAGGUUGAAACUCAAAGGAAUUGACGGGGGCCCGCACAAGCGGUGGAGCAUGUGGUUUAAUUCGAAGCAACGCGAAGAACCUUACCAGGUCUUGACAUCCCUCUGACCGCUCUAGAGAUAGAGUUUUCCUUCGGGACAGAGGUGACAGGUGGUGCAUGGUUGUCGUCAGCUCGUGUCGUGAGAUGUUGGNNNAANNNNNNNNNNCGAGCGCAACCCCUAUUGUUAGUUGCCAUCAUUCAGUUGGGCACUCUAGCGAGACUACCGGUAAUAAACCGGAGGAAGGUGGGGAUGACGUCAAAUCAUCAUGCCCCUUAUGACCUGGGCUACACACGUGCUACAAUGGCUGGUACAACGAGUCGCAAGCCGGNGACGGCAAGCUAAUCUCUGAAAGCCAGUCUCAGUUCGGAUUGUAGGCUGCA
Molecule: ribosomal RNA, 441 nt
Filed under: uncultured bacterium
Lineage: Bacteria
Description: partial 16S ribosomal RNA
Rfam family: Bacterial small subunit ribosomal RNA
Source: RNAcentral